GGAGGUGUGGCUCAGUUGGUAGAGUGCUGGCCUAGCAUGCCUUAGGUCCUCAGUUCGAAACUNAGCACUUCNU
RNAcentral lists this transfer RNA (73 nucleotides) under Neotoma lepida (desert woodrat). It matches the Rfam family "tRNA". Rfam says of the family: Transfer RNA (tRNA) molecules are approximately 80 nucleotides in length. Their secondary structure includes four short double-helical elements and three loops (D, anti-codon, and T loops). Further hydrogen bonds mediate the characteristic L-shaped molecular structure. tRNAs have two regions of fundamental functional importance: the anti-codon, which is responsible for specific mRNA codon recognition, and the 3' end, to which the tRNAs corresponding amino acid is attached (by aminoacyl-tRNA synthetases). tRNAs cope with the degeneracy of the genetic code in two manners: having more than one tRNA (with a specific anti-codon) for a particular amino acid; and 'wobble' base-pairing, i.e. permitting non-standard base-pairing at the 3rd anti-codon position. Lineage: Eukaryota; Metazoa; Chordata; Mammalia; Rodentia; Cricetidae. The record is from Rfam by way of RNAcentral.